RNAcentral lists this transfer RNA (74 nucleotides) under Marmota monax (woodchuck). RNAcentral describes it as "tRNA.Ser". The record is from RNAcentral. Lineage: Eukaryota; Metazoa; Chordata; Mammalia; Rodentia; Sciuridae.
GUGGGGGUAUAGCUCAGCUGGUAGAGUGCUUGCCCUGAAUGCACAAGGUCCUGGGUUCAGUCCCCAGCACCACA